GAGAUUUUAAAGUAACUUUAUUCUCUCUUUGUAUAUGACAUUUUAAAAAUUACAAUAGCAUAUUACUUGCAAGCUAUUUAUAAUACACACACAGUUAUGCCACACAUAUAAAAUACAUUACCAUAUCACAUUAUUUACAAAUGAGAAUUAACCAGGCCAUCUAUUUUUCAAGUUGAAAAGAAGUUCUUGCUAUUUUCUGAGGUAUUAUUUUUAAAGUACCUGACAAAAACCCAAGAUAUGUGUAAUUUUUUUGUUGUGGUCCUUUUUAUAUUUAUUGUCUUAGCAAUGAUACAGCUAGAAAUAGUGGCCAGAAAUAACCUGAGGAAGAAGCAUGAGUCAGAUGUAUCAUUACAGCCCAUUCUGCCAGGCACCGGCCUUUAUACUCGCCUAAGCCUUCUCCAGUCCCUUGAGUCCUAGGCCCAGGCUCAUUUGGUGCCUGCAUAUAAUAAUGUCCUAGUCCCUCUUCAUCCAGAUCAGCCUCUAUGACCCUAAUCAGUCAAUAACUUACAUCUCCAUGAAAAAGUGUAAUGUAACAAAGAUGAAAUAGGCAUCACAAAGUUUAAGUGAGACAAGUUAUAAAAGGUGAAUGCAGUCUUCCUAAAGGUAAGCCCUUGGU
RNAcentral lists this long non-coding RNA (616 nucleotides) under Bos taurus (domestic cattle). RNAcentral describes it as "long non-coding RNA NONBTAT025958". Lineage: Eukaryota; Metazoa; Chordata; Mammalia; Artiodactyla; Bovidae. The record is from RNAcentral.